UUUGAAGGCUUACAAUGGUUUUUCUGGGUUGUAGCAUGAAGUAGAGGGUAGGUUUUUAAUUCGGUUGUGGAGGCUUUUAUUAGCGUGAGUGCGUAGUGUUUGUUUUGGUGGCUUGAGGUAGUGUCCUGAAAUUAAUUAGUGAGGUUUUUUUUUAAUAUUGAUGGUGGAAUUCUUGUUUAUUAUAUCAUAAGCGGUUUUUUUCAUUUGGCUUAUUUGAUUGCCGUGUGUGUUUUAUUGUUGCAGGGAAUUUGGGAGUUAUUGUUUAUGGUUACAUUUCUCUUUUGGCGACGUGCUUAUUUCUAAGUGGUAUUUGUGUUUUGAUGGUUUGAGGCAUUAUGGGUUUAUUGAGUUAGGAAUAAUUAUUUUGUUGUUGUUAAUAUGAUUUUUUUUUUGGUAGUUUGAUGUAUUUGGUUGUUGUUUUUUAUUAGUUUUGUUUUUGGGAACGUGGGUAUUUCUAUGGUGGAUCUUUUUAGGUAGUUAUUUUAUUUCGGUGGUGAAUCUUUUCUUUCUUCGUGGUUCCGAUUUUGUUAUAUCGGUAAUUAUUUGGUGGUUUUUUUUCGUUCAUUUUAUAGAGUAUUGGGUUCUCUUUAUGAGUUAGUGUAGUGGUAGAGUUUUGGGGUUUGAUUUUUUAUUUUUUUUCUAAGAAACGUUCGGGGUCUGUUGUAUGGUUUGGAGUAUAGUAAGUUAGUUGGCUUUUUUUUUUUUUUCUUAAUGUUUUUUUGUGAUUUGCUGUGUGGGUUUUGUUAUGAACAAAACAGCUUGGCUGCGACACUUGGCUUGGGCUAAGUACUGACAUUGAAAUGUUAAUUAGCUAAUUGUUCCUGGGAAUCACCUACCUCCCCCCACCCGCACUACCAUUCUAUAGGUCUUUUUAGAAAUGUGUGUGUCAUUUUUGUGAUGUGAUAAGAACUGCUAGUGAAAGAAGUGUAGUGCGGGUUUUUUUGCCGGUAGUUGGUUGGCUGUGGAACCUUUCUGAAUAUUUUGGACGGCAUUGUUGGGAAUUUGAUGCUGUUUUGGCAUUUUAGUUUGAGGAACUGGAUUAGAACUGCAAAGUUUUAACUCUAAUGAAACAAAAGGAAUGCAUAAAUAUGAAAAUAGGAAUAUAAAACUUCAAUUUUAAAUAUGAACGGAAAACAUAUAAAUAAAACAUGUAACAUGAAUAAUGUUAUCCAUUACUAUUAGGUAUUAUAUUGUUUGAUAUAGGGUAUUUUAUAUGUUUAUAUACAUAUAAAUGUAGAUUAUAAAUAUAAAUAUGCAUCUAGAAACGUAUAAUUAAUACAUGUGGAUAUAUAAAUAUGACAAAAUAAUAGGAAUCAAUACAGUACAUAAUGCAUUUUUUACUGUAUAUGUCUUAUUAUGACACAUUAUAUGUCAUAGGAAUUAUAGCUCGAAAUAUAGUACCUCAAGAUAUUGUGAUAGAAUAUAUAAGUACUUGUGAAAAUCGAAAAUAGAAAUAAAGAAAUAUCUAAAUAUAGUUGAAAGUAAAGGGGAUUUUAAUUGUCUAUUUGGUAGUAGGUAGGGGUUUUAUUAUAAAAAUGAUAAAUAUAAAUGAAAUAAAAUUAGAAAUCUAUGUAUAGAAAUAUAUCCUAAAUAUGUUAAGAGCUAUAUAAAAUCUCAAAGGUAAGUAACUAUGAGUAUUAGUGGUAUGUACGGAAUAGAAUUUAAAUUAAAAUUUAUCUAUCUUGCUACCUUAUUAUCUAUAUAAUAUAUAUUUAUAGAUACAUCAAUAUAAAGGAGAAAUGCGCAUGUGACUAUAAUGAUGAAAAAAUAUAUGAAUAUUCCAGUAGCGUCUAAAGAAAGGGAUUUUUUUGCUUUUAUUUGAUUAGAGGCAGGGUUUUAAUGGAAAAACGAUGAAUAUACAUUUUGUUUUGGUAUCUAUCUAAAUAUGGAAAUAGAUAAUCAAUGUAUACAGAUUAAUAUACAAACAUAAAAUGUAAAUAAAAAUAAGUAUGAGGAAGAGAUAGACUAUAAAUAACACCAUACAUCAAUCUACAAUAAAAAUGUACAUUUGAACAUACAUGCGAAAAAUAAAGAUAAAUUUAGACGGAGUUUAAAGAAAGGGGUUUUUAAAAAAAUUUUUACUUGCAUAGAGGCAGGGGUUUAUUUUAAGCCCUAUAAACCUUUUAGAAAUCUAAAUCUAACUAUAGAAAUAUACAAGCAAUAUAUUAAGAUAUGUGUAAAAAUAUAAAAUAUAAUAGGAAUAAAUGUAAGAAAUUAUAAAAAUACAAUUACACAUCAAUAUACGUUAUAAAUCCGAAUGUGAAUAUAAAUAUGAAAAAUAUAAAAAUAAAAUAGCUUGAAAUGCAGUUUAAAAGAGAAGGUUUUUGCUUUUGGUUCCUGUUGGGUUAGAGGCAGGGGUUUUUUGCUGGCGUUCUUUUCCGCGCGGGAUGUUUUGGGGCAUUUGCUGCAGGGCAGGUUCCGGAGGGCAUCGCGCCCGUUCUUUUCUGCCGCCGGCCCCGCCCGCGGCCCCGAGGCGAGCGGCGGCCCCCGGCGGUGGCGGGCGGCAGUGCUGCCGCCCUGUGGGCAGAGGGCGGUACUGCAGCCCGCCGCCCGCGGCCGCCAUCUUGGGAGUGGCUUGUCGCGGGCUCGCUUGACCUUCUCGAGAUGGCGCGAAAAAGAGGACGUCGGCAUUCGAGGACCCGUGUCUGUUUUUUCUACACUGCCUGAAUGGUCCCCAACGCCGGCGCCCCCCGACGGGAUUUUCCGCGGCGGUUCCGGUGCCGUGCACACGGGCUGUGGGGUCAGCAGCACCGCGAGCGGCGCGCGGGGCGGUGUCUGUGGGCGCAGGGCGGGGGCGGCGGCGGCUCGGGCGGCCCGAGCCUCAAAAACAAGCUCUGGUCAGGAAACAAGCUUGGUGCUUUGCACGCAGAAGAGCUAAGGAAGAUUCCUCUCUGUUCUAAAUCUAAUGUACCCAAAAAAAUUUGCAUCAAAGUAUUUUGUACUGAGGUCCUGGUGUAUUUUAUAUAUACACAAGAACACAUAUGAGUACAAAAUAUAUAUAUAUUAUGCUUAUAUGGUGAGUGUUCCUGAAGUGCUGUCAUCCCAACUUAUUUUUGUGACUUCACAAGAAGCAGUUCAAAUGUAUUAGAAAGCAAGUUGCAAACUCUAGUUUUAGACUGAUAAAGUCAUCUAGGCGUGCCUAUGAUAAAAUUCUAUAGAUAUAUGCAUCUAUAACAUAUAUAAAACUGAUUUCAUUUACGUGAACUCCUUGUCUACACUAAGCCAGGAAUUGCCAAAGGCUUGUUUUGAAGUUGAGACAGGAACAAUCCAUUAUUAGUGAUUUCCAGAAUCCUUCCUUAUUUCAGGGGAAGAAAGAUCCUGUUUUUGGCAAAUUCCUCAAUGUAGAAGUACCUGCAAUCAUAUAAGCAUUCCCUUUAUUUCUCUUUUAAUUUAAAAAAAAAAAAAAGUUAUUACAUGUGAAUCUGAUUUAUUCACAUUACUUUAGUCUGGGUUUUUUGCAUCUAUAAUUGCUCUUAAGGUUAUUGCACCUUGCCAGAAAGAAACCAAAGCAUAAAAAAUUUCCUCUGUACUAAAAUUUUCCUAAUGAUGAUUGAAAGCAUUUUCUUCAUUAGAGUCUCUGCCUUUUGAGAUCAGUACUUAGAAAGUCAAGUUUCUGAUAAAUUCUCAAAGUGAGGAAAUAAUAGGAUUAGAAAUGUUUUUCUUAAGUUUUUCAAAAUCCAAAUUGUUUCAAAGAAUUUUGCUGCACUGAUCUUUGCUAUUAGUUUCAGAUUUUACAGAAUACCAUUCCUUAGAUUCAUUCAGCCUUCCCAAACGUCUGUCACUGAAUUGGACUGCAUCAAUUGUCAAAAAAGAUCCAAGCCCAGCUGAAAGAGAUUCGUUAUGGGGAAAAGGAUUUGAUUUUUAAGGCACAACAGCUAACAGAUCUGGAGCAAAAACUAUCUGUUGCAAAAGACAAAUUGGAAAACGCAGCCCUUGACCAAGUAAGAAAUGUCAUGUAAUG
Molecule: long non-coding RNA, 3961 nt
Organism: Taeniopygia guttata (zebra finch)
Lineage: Eukaryota; Metazoa; Chordata; Aves; Passeriformes; Estrildidae
Source: RefSeq, a predicted model, not a curated record